GCUCUGCUCCAUGCCAGCUCUCACCCACCAGCAGCUUAACCAGGCCUAUUCACAUGACGUCUUGGCGGGGUUCCGAGGGAGCCAGAGGAAGUGUAUAGACCCCUUGAGGCGUAAACUUGGAACUAGGAAACCAUCACUUGCACCUCAUUCUGUUGACCAGAGCUAGGUAAUCAUAAGGCCAACCAAUACUGAAGGAAUGGGGAAAUAGACUCCAACUUUCACUCUAGUUGGGAUGCAAAACUUAUAUAUAAAAGAUACAAUUAGAAAAUUAUCCCAUAUUGAAUCAGGAGCCAGAUUGUAUCUUUAAUUGCAAAAAGAGCUAUGAAGUGGAGGGGCCUUUGCAGUUAUAGGCCUGAGUAGUUAUAAAAUAUUUUAUAGAAAAAGUAGAAAGUUAAAUUGAAAGAAAGUUAGACAUUGAUGAGAAAAGAAGAUAUUUCAAGCAUAGAAAAUAGCAGAUUUAAAUUUUGUUUAAAAACGUGGGAGUGUGUCUGUGUUGGUUUUAGAAGGAUCUAGACUAUCGUUUCUCUUUUUUUUUUGGCCAUCGUUUCUCCUUUAAGUUCCAGGCUAGUACCAGUACUAUCAGAUAGAUUCUGACUCAUGGUGACCCCAUGUGUGUCAGAGUAGAACUGUGCUCUGUAGGGUUUUCAGUGGCUGAUUUUUCAGAAGGUAAAUCACCAGGCCUUUCUCCCAAGGUGCCUUUGGGUGGGCUCAAACCUUCAGCCUUUUUAUUAGCAGCUGAGUGCGUUAACCGUUUGCAGCACCUAGGGGCUCCCAGUUUUAGGCUAAUUUCUUUAAAUCCCCAUUUCUUAAUUUCUUUUCUUUCUUCCUUGUUUUUGCUGUUCGGCUUCCUUGUGGGCCUCUUUUUAUGUUCCAUUCUUCUUUUCAUCUAAUGCUACUUAGUGAGGGCUACCCUGAAACAUUUCACAUUUCUGUUAUUCACAAUCAUUUUAAAGGCAUCUUAACUUCCCUAGAUAAUUUUUUACAUUAUUUAUUACAAACAGCUGCAUGUUUAAUUAAUAGGAAGAGGUUUGUGGAUGUUCUUUUCUUUAGUAACCUCUCUCAUUAUUUUCUGUUCCUUGGCCCCAAUUGUUACUUACUUCUAAUAUUUGUAAGCUUUUGUAAAGCUGAAUGAACUAGGUUGUGACAUUGCAUCAGGUCUCCUGAAUGGAGCUUGUUGGCAACAACUCUUAUGCAGCAAAGCCAUCCCAAGAUAUCUAGGGCUUUUUUUAGAUAGAGCUAGUGACAUUCCCUCUAGGCUAGUUAUUCCCCAAUUUCUAAACCUACAGUCUAAAGUAAACACAGUGCAUUGCCAUUGCAGACAUUUAACAUGCCUUAAAAACAACUUUAGAACCUAAAAGAAAUAAGUGUAUAUUUGUUUUCAGGUAUUGAACAGAUUCUGAUGCUAUUCCUAUUGGAGGUAUAGUGAUAAAAUCAGUACCUUCAGUUAGUCAAUACCAGGUGGGGAAAUCUGAGAACAGCUCAAGAAGCUAACUGCGUGCAGAACCACCCGUCCUGUUUCCCAUCCUAUCUUAAUCCUAUUCAAUCAAAUUUUGGUUUUGACUUAAAUCUCUUGCCCUUCUCUUUGCCCUGUCCUAAAUCUAAUGAAGUUUACUGUAUAAGAGGAACAUUCCCUCUUUCCUUGACUGCUAUUGGUUCAUAUGGAAAAAUCUUAACUUUGAUAAUCACUUGUAUUUUAACUUCCAUAGAAAGCCCGUUCAUAUCAAAAUCUGAUUUUGUCUGAUACAGCACAUGUCAAAAUGAUAUAUAGCCCCUAGGAUUUCUUUUAUAAUGUUUCACCCUAACCUACUCCCUAACUAGGAGAUAGGAGGUAGAGGUGGAUGGGGCAGGUCUACAUCUUGACAGGCCUGAGGUGUCAGUGUUCUGUUUUUCAUCCACAACGGACAGUCUAUAUUUGACAGGAAGAGGGCUAGCUCCCACGUAUACUUUUUCAUAGUAGCCCUUAACCUGCUGAAAGGUAACUUGAGUUUCUUUUGGGUGGCCAGUAGUUUUUCCUAAUAUUAACUGACCAGUUGCCAAGGAGUCAUGAUGGAGAAAAAAGAGAUGUGUGGGAACAGAUAUUUGGGGAAAGUUUUUAUGAGAGAGAUAUUCUUGGUGGAGGAAAAUAGACAGUUGUAUGCUAGUAGUAAAGUAUAUGGACCAGUGAUAUUGUCAGUAGGAAGCAGAGUAGCUCAAAUACUCAAGUACUCAUUUGAAAUAUUCUGUUUGACCUUUAGAUUAUGUAUGAUCUUGGAAAGUACAACUGAGAAUUACGUGCACCAGAGUCAGAAAUCAAAUAGCUUGAUAACUUAUGGAAUUGAAAGAUGUCUUCAUUAUGACUAAUGUGAAUGGUGAGGGAUGGAAGCCAUAAGGCACAUUAUCUUAGAAAAGAUAAUCUGCACCCCAAUAUAGUAAAGUAGAUAUGUGGGGAGGCCAGAUCAGAAAUGAAAUCCAGAAUUAUCAUAUCCCAAAAGCAUGUAGGAUGUAGUACUAUAUCAGACCAUCUGCAUAGAUCUCUUUUUUGAUACAGAGCCACUAACAGUAUCUGCAGACCAUAUUCCAAUGUCUUAUCACAGGCAUAGCUAGCACUUGGAUAAGACCUACCUAAGCAGGAAUUUAAGGAGCGCUGGUGGUACAAUGGUUAAGCGCUUAGUUGCCAACCAGCUUUUCUCCUUGGGAGAAAAGACCUGGUGAUCUGCUCCCAUAAAGAUUAAAGCCCAGGAAACCCUUUGGGGCAGUUCUGCUCUGUCAUAUAGGUACUAUGAGUCAGAAUCAACUCAAUGGCACACAACAAGAAGCAGGAAUUGUUCAUUCAUUUAUUCAGCACUAUGCCUAGCACUGUUAUAGUGCUGUGAAUACAGCAUGGUCCCUGCCUUCAUGGAGCUUACAUUCUUUUGUAGUUGCCAUGCUUGUAAACCAGGUCUUUUUGACAUUCUGCUCUUCAAAAAUUCUCUCUUCAGGUAGUCCUGGUAUUUUGAGGAAUGUCAGUUUAGCUAGAUUUUAAUUUUUUUAAUUGAUGCUGAAUGGGUCAGUUUCAGGGAAGCUGCAGAGUUUUCUGGCAAGAUUUCCCAGGGCAAGUACCUUGGGAAAUCUGUGUACUGAUACACAGGCUUUGAGGAAAGACUUUUUGCUGUGGUUGGGCAGCCUAGCAUAAAUAAGAUGACCAACUUGAAAUGCUUCAAAAGGUAGCCCUUUAGCUUUUGGAAGCAGAGUUUUCUGGUGCCCAGGUUGUUUUGCCAGAUUGUCACUGGAUACCUGGAACCUUCAGGGUGACAGCUCCAGCCUCAAAAGAGGCCCUGACAGUAAAUAGUUCCUAUUCCCAAGCAGGAAAGAGCUAAUAUCUGGGCCUAGUUCUGUAAAAAAAAAAAAUAAAUAAAGAUAGGAACAUUUCUGAGAAAAGACCUCGUUGAGCUACAGUCUUUGGCCUCAACCAUAUAAGCCAAGGCUGGGUGAGCAUACACAAGGUUGGAACAAAGGCGAGUAAGGUCUGCAGCUACUGGGAUACUGCAGCAGCCUCUGAAAACCAGUUAUAUCUCCUUGCCUUGCCUGGGAUAUUAGUAACUAGAACCAUCAGGGAAAAUUUAUGAAGAGAAUUGUCAGUUAUAUAUAACAAAUUCUGGGAUUUGCUGAAUGUCCUUGGUUGAUUGGAGGAGAGUCUCCUCUAGAAGUGUUGAUACUUGGUCUUACAUUAUACCAGCCUCUUAAGUGAGGAGGAAAUGAGCUCUGAAAUCCUGCCUCAGGACCUUUUCUGAUUUAACACAGAAUCCAAUUUUUUCCAGACCAUAUUCUCAUGAAAUAACAUACAAGGAAAGCACAACUCUUUCGUACACAAAAUCAUGUAAGAUGUCUUUUAAGUGCUAGGAAAAUGUCCAGAUAUUUAAUAGGCCAACUAGCAUCAUAGCAUGUUUGAAGACCAUUUUCUGUUCGUUACCCUCCCACUAUGGAUAUAAUGGUAGCACCUCAGAGGUCUAAUUUCUUGAAGCCCUCAUGGAGUUGUCGCAGGAGGUUAGGAGUCAGAGGGGCAGGAGUAAUAGUAGUAGAUGAUAACCACAUAGAAACCAUGGUAGCCUUAUAAGAAUUGGAGUCCUCAUUGAUUUUUUAAAUGGAGAAUUUUGGGAUUCUUGAAGGGAAGGUGGGAGUUCUGGUGAAUGUCACUGUAUAUUUUUCAGGGGCUUUGGUUGUCCUGAGAGAGGAAGCACACCCACUUAGCAGGAAUGUAGGGCCCAGACACUUGGUUCUUUGUACAGUAGUGUUUGGUACAGAGGUAGCCCCUGAACCUCAUUAAGUGCCCUUCCCUUUAGGCAAUUUGUGUGUCUUGAAAUGCUGACUCGUGAAUAAUAGGCAUUUGGGCCCUGUCAGGGUCCUUAAACUAUAUAGAUUAAAGAUAUGUGAAGACAAGCAGUGGGUGAAGGUCCCACAGUUAGGAGAAGUCCUUUAGAGUAGCAGGAGACAAAACAAGAGAUUUUUGACAUAUUUUCUCAUGAACAACUCAAUGGGUUUGGCCUUCUGACUCAUGGGCUCGCCUCACUAACAUUAUACAUUGUCACCUGUCAACCCAUAUUGGUAGAAUCUUUUGAUAGAUGAGGAGUCUAACCUAAAGUUUGGCUGACAGAUUUGUCCAAAACUUCCUACUUUAACCUGGAAGCAGGGCCCUGCCAAUUAGAGAUUCCACCAAAGUGUAGAACAUGCUUUCCAGGAGGCAUUAGAAAGACCUUUUUUCAGAAGUAUAAGUUUAGACUGUGACAGUCCUUCCACUCCUUUGCUUCAGUAGGAUAACUGUAACUUUUAAUCUGGGCAUGGUGCCAGCAUGACUCUAGAUAGCCUUAUAGCAAGGUCUGUCAGUUCAGAGACUAGGGCCCCAUUCAGUUUCAGUUCUUGAGUGAAGAGCUCACACGCAUAGCAUAGUAAGCCACCUGGCAAUUUCUACCUUAGCUCAUAGACAGCAUUGGUUAUGAUCUUGUAUCAUAAAAGACAUAGAUGAUCUGUGAGGUAACAUGCUACCUGGACUAACCUGAGGCCCUACACCACUCUCUGCUUCUCCCAACAAGCCAAGCCUCUGAAACUAUGGUUUCUCCCUUACCUCUAACACACAGCAUAAAUAUACAUGCCCACAACUGGAACUUAAUUUGUGAGACAGUCACAUCUUCAGGAGAAAGGACAGGAAAGUCAUCACCAGUGAAUUUCCCUGGGAGUAGCAGUGGUAUCAAGGUUGUUGUUGUAGUGCUUGGUGAAUGAAAGCCUACUAGGUUCUGGACACUAGUCUCAGCUCCAUUAACUGUACUGCCUAGCAUCCUGCUAGAGGACACUGAUAGGCCAAGGGAAGGGCGCGGAAUCAGGCCUUAGAACUAAUUUGUAAAUAUUGCAUCCUACUGAUCGUCGCUGGAGGGCAGCAGAGAGUGAAAUCAAAGGGUCAGACUUAGGGAAUUGGACAUAUUCCAGUUUGCCAAGAAAGAAGCCCCCUUAGGCAUAAGAGUAUUUCCUGGGAGCCACAGUUAUAGGCAUAAAAAAAUAAUAGAUCCUAGUAAAUAAGAAACAAAAAGAUCAUCCAGAGGAGGGUUUGAAGGUUAAAACCCUCCUCCUAGGCAAGGAAUGGGCAAAGGAAUGAAGUAGGACUGGCUGGGAAAGGGGAAUAGGACAGCAUCAAUGAAGGCAGAGAACCAAGAGGACGGUCCAAAGUCUCAAGUCUCAAAGGAGCAAGCAAAGGUGGAAAAGGAACUGAAAUGGAAGAAAGAUCCAAAGUGAGGGGCAAGCCAGAGUGAGUGAGCUGAGUCGGUAAAGGUACAGUCAGGAAAGGUUGAUUCUCUGAGGCAGCGGCGGUAGCCAGGAAGGAGCCUUUUGUAGAGUGCAUGUCAGCAGGAAGGGAGCUGCAAAGGGAGCGAUUUCAGACACAAACAAACAGCCAUGUCUGUGGGAUUCUCACCUCCUAAAGUAGCUCCUCCUUGACUAGCCAGAAUCAUUUCAUCUUGCUUGAUUUCAAGAGCAAAGUAACUUUUAGAGAACGUAGAGAAAAUGAGAGAGGGGGAAGAGGAUAUGCUGUGGCAUUCUAAGAUGUGACUACACCCAAAACCCAAACUCAUUGCCAUGGAGUGGAUUCCAGCUCAUAGCAACCCUAUAGGACAGAGUAGAGCUGCUCCAUAGGGCUGGUAGAUUCAAACUGCCAGCCUUUUGGUUAGCAACCAAACACUUAACCACUACGCCACCAGAGCUCCAGAUGUGACUAAGGAAUUUUUAUAUAUGCAAUGAAGUUGAAUUGGACAUGAAGCCCUUCUGGAUAGCAUUGGUAUGAAAGCACAGCUUAGGAUAGCUUCUGAUGUUCCCUUUCCGUAUUUUAUGUAGUACUUGUUAAGAAUAUUUAGUGAAAAAGAAAAACUGGCUAUUGUGACUAGUUACAGGCAAGAUACCAAUCAAUCCAAGGACUCAGGAUCUGAUCCCAGUAGGUUAGCAGAGAGUUGUGUUUGGAGUCAUUUCCAAAUAAUUGCUGAGUGCUCGGCAGCUUUCCAAAUCCCCAGAUACGGAGAAAGAGAAGUCUUGCCUGGCCUGUUUAAACUUUUAGCGUCUCUCCUCAUUUCCUCAACUUCUCAAGCAUCAGAAAAAUGAGGCUCCUGUAAGCACAAGUUCCUGGAGCCCUAUACUGGGUGGCAGGAUAGCAUAGUAUUUAAGACGUUUGGAGUUACGAAGUUUGGGCAGACCUGGGCUACUAGCUGAGACAAUUAACAAAUUAUUUGACCUUUUUUAAGGUGUAAUUUCUCAGCUAUAAAAUGAAGAUUUUAUAAUAACCUGUAAGUGUUGCUGUAAGUGCUGAGUAAGACAAUGUAAUCAUGAUGCUUGAUAUUUGGUAAACAUAAAAAAAGAUAGUAGCUCCUAUAAUUAUUACCACUACUAUUAUACUGAGGAGACCUACUUGAGAACUCUACAUGCAUGGGAUCAGCACCCAAGUAAAAGUCAGGAGACCUGGAAUGAUUUCUUAACUCUUGCUGAUUUGUUACAUGAUAGGGUAUGUGUGCCUUUGGGUAUUGGCUCAUAAUGGGGUUCAUCCUGUCUCUCAGGAGAAGGAAUUGAGAAUGAUAACCAUUAAAUGACCUGGCUUCUUCGUUGAUAUAUUGCACAUGUUGUUGUUGUUAGUCACUGUCUCAGUUAUCUAGUGCUGCUAUAACAGAAAUGCCACAAGUGGAUGGCUUCAACAAACAGAAAUUUAUUCUCUCACAGUCUAGUAGAGUAGAAGUCCAAACUCAGGGCACUGGCUCCAGGGGAAGGCUUACUCUCUCUCCGUUGGCUCUGGAGGAAGGUCCUUCUUAUCAAUCUUCCCAUAGUCUAGGAGUUUCUCCAUGCAGGAACCCCAGGUCCAAAGGACAUGCUGUGCUCCUAGUACUGCAUUCUUGGUGGUAUGAGGUCUCCCUUGUCUCUGUGCUUGCCUCUCUCUUUUAUGUCUCGAAAGAGAUUGAUUUAAGACACAACCUAAUCUUGUAGAUUGAGUCCUGACUCAUUAACAUAACUGCCGCCAAUCCCACCUCAUUAACAUCAUAGAGAUAGGAUUUACAACACAUAGGAAAAUCACAUUAGAUGACAAAAUGGUAGACCAUCACACAAUACUGGGAAAGAUGGACUAGCCAAGUUGACACACAUUUUGGGGGGGAUAUAAUUCAAUCCAUAACAGUGGCCCUCAAGUCGAUUCUGACUCAUGAUGACCCCAUGUAUUUCAGAGUAGAACUGUUCCAGAGGGGAAAAAGGAAAACAAGAAAAAACCUGUUCCAUAGGGUUUUUAAGGCAGUGACCUUUUGGAAGCAGAUCACCAGGCCUUACCUCCAAGGCACCACUGGUGGAUUUAAACCUCUAACCUUUCUGUUAGUAGUCCAGUGCUUAACCGUUUGUAUCACACAGGACUCCUAUAUUGUGCAUAAAACAAAAAAAAAAACAAAAAACAAACCCACUGCCAUCCAGUUGAUUCCAACUCAUAGCCAUUCUGUAGGACAGAGGAGAACUGCCCCAUACGGUUUCCAAGGCUGUAAAUCUUUACAGAAGCAGACUACCACAUCUUUAUCCUGCAGAGCAGCUGGUGGGUUCAAACCGUUGACCUUUUGGCUAGCAGCCUAGUGCUUAACCAUUGCACCAUCAGGGCUCUUUAUAUUGUAUAUAUAUAAAAAAAAAAAAAUUGUAUAUAAAAAGUGGUUAAAAAAGAAAAUAAUUUAUCUGCUAAUUUUUCAUGUUUAACCAAAUUAGAAGUAGUUUGCUUUUCUUUUCUCAUAAGAUGUAUUUAUUUACAUACACAUUAUAGUGUAUUAAAAACAAUUUUUAAAGAUGAAAAAUAAAGUCUUACUAAAUCUGUUAUCUUAAUACAAUCGUUUUUACUUUGAUGGGGCCUUUUCUGGUCUUUUUCUAUAUGCAUAUUUGUAGUACCUGUAUGUAUAAUUUUAUAUUCAACUUUUCUUAAACACUUUUUGGAGUCACUAAGUAGUGCAAACAGUUAAGCACUCCGCUACUAGUCUAUAGGUUUGAACCCACCCAGAUGCACUUCAGCAGACAGGCCUGACGAUCUGCUUCUGAAAGGUCUCAGCCUUGAAAACUCUACAGAGCAGUUCUACUCUGAAAUGCAUAGGGUCACCAUGAGUCAGAAUUGACUCAAUAGCAGCUAACAACAACAGUGAACAUUUUUUAGGCUGUUACAUUUUAGAUAAUUUUUGUUCAGGUAUAAUUUAUGUACAAUAAAAUGUACCUACUUUAAAUAUUGCAGUUCCAUGAAUUUUGACAAAUAUAUUCACCUAUGUAACCACCACCACCAAGAAUAUGUGUAUCAUCCAAAGAAGCCCCCUUGUGCUUCUUUGUAGUCAGCCCCUUCCCCCCAUUCCCAAGCAACCCUUGACCUGCUCUCUGUCACUUUCAUUUGUAUUUUCUAGAAUUUUCUAUAAAUGGGAUCAUGCAGUUCUUUUGUGUCUGGCUUCCUCCAUUCAGCAUAAUGUUUUUGAGAUUUAUCCAUGAUGUUGCUUAUGUCAAUAAUUCAUUUCUUCUUAUUGAUGACUUAUAUCAUUUGUUUAUCCAUUCUCUUGUUGAUAUUUAUGAACAUUUGGUUGUUUUCAGUUUCUGACUGCUAUAAAUACAGCUGUUACGAACAUUCAUGCACAAGUAUUUAUGUGGACAUAUGUUUUUAUUUUUCUUGGAUAAUACUAGGAAUGGAAUUGUUGGAUACAAGGUAAGUGUAUGUUUAACUGUAUUUUAAAAAAUGUCAAAACUGUUUUCCAACGUACCCAGACCUGUUGCCAUCAAGUUGAUUCCAACUCACAACGACCCUACAGGACGGAGUAGAACUGCGCCAUUGGGUUUCCAAGGAGCAGCUGGUGGAUUUGAAUUGCCGAUCUUUUGGUUAGCGGCCAGGCUCUUAACUACUGUGUCAUCAGGGCUCCAACAUAGUUGUACCAUUUUCCAUUCCCACCAGCAGUGUGUAUUUUCAGUUGUUCCACAUCUUCAUCAACACUUGGUGCUACAGUUAUUUGUUGAUUAUUGAGGUGUUAUUUACAUAGAGUAAAAUUCAUGCUCCUUAGGUAUUGUGGUUGUUGUUGUUAGUUGCCAUUGAGUCUGUCGCGACUUACGGUGACCCCAUGUGUGCAGAAUAGAAGUGUUCCAUAGGGUUUUCAAGGCUGUGUCCUUUUGAAAGCAGAUCAACAGGCCUGUCUUCCAUCUCUGGGUAGGCUCAAACUGCCCAUCUUUUGGCUAGUAGUCAAGUGUGUAAUCAUUUGUAUCACCCAGGGACUCCUUCUUAGGUGUACAGUCUUAUAAAUUUUUAUAAAUUACACUAUGGUGUAACCACCACUACAAUUAAGAUACCGCAUAUUUCCAUUAUCCAAAAAAUUUCUUUGUGCAUCAUUGCAAUCAAUCUCCUCCCCCUACUCCCAGCCCCUGGUAAUCACUGCUGUGAUCUCUGAUGCUAUAGUUCUGUCUUUUCCAGAAUGUCAUAUAAAUGAAAUCAUACUUUUAAUUUUGGCUUCUUUCACUUACCAUAAUGCUUUUUAGCUGCAUUCAUGUUGUUACAUAUAUUAGUAGCUCAUUCAUUUUUAUUGCAGAAUAGUAUUCUAAGGAUAUACCACAAUUUGUUUAUUCAUUUACCGUUUGAUGAACAUUUGGGUUGGAUAUCAUAAAUAAAAUCACAAUAAACAUUUGCAUAAAGAUUAUUUUACAGGUUAUUGUUUUGUUUUAAUUUGAUCCAUUCUAAUAGGCAUAUGGUAUCUCACUGUGGUUUUAAUUUGCAUUUUCCCUGAUGAGUAAUAAUGCUUAACAAUGUUUCAUGUACUUCUUUGCAUACGUAUCUCUUGUUUCAUGAAGUGUUUGUUCAAAUCUUUUGUCCAUUGUUAAAAAUAAUUAUUAUUGAGUUGUAAAAGUUUCUUUAUAUACUCUGUUCAGUAGUCUGUUGUCGGAUAUGUGUUCGACAAUUUUUUCUCCCAGCCUCUAGUUUGUCUUUUCAUUUUCUUAACAGAAAGAUUGAGAUUUUCAUUUUAAUGACUCUAAUGGGUUUGGUUUUGGUUUUUUAUCUUUUUUUUUUUUCUUCUUUCAUGGCUCAUGUCCUAUGUGUCGUGUCUAAGAAACCUUUGACUAACCCAAGGUCACAAAGAUUUUCUCCUGUUUUCUUCUAGGAGUUUUAGUGGUGUUAGAUUUUAUAUUUGAGUCUAUAAUGAUGGAUUUUGAGCAAAUUUUUCAAUACGAUGUGAGGUAUGGGUUGAGGUUCCUAUUUUUGCCUAGAAUGCCCAGUUGUACCAGCCACAUUUGUUGAAAAGGUUAUACUUUCUCCAUAGAUUGGCCUUGACACCUUUAUCAAAAAUCAAUUAACCAAAUAUAUGUAGGUCUAUUUCUGGACUCUAUACUGUCUUCCGUUGAGCUAUCUGUCCUAUCCUUCUGCUAUAUUUUGUUUACCUUGAGCAUUAUGCCCUUUUAAGAAUUAUCUAUAUGGGAUCAAACUGACAACAGCAACUCUAAAGAUUAGAUAGAAACCUUAUGAGGAAGUGAGUUUAUGUUAAUGGAGAAGGAAUAACUCAGAAAAGGAGGAUGAGAAUGGUUGCACAACUCGAAGAAAGUAAUCAGUGUCACCAAAUUGUACAGGUAGAAACAGUUGAAUUAGUGUAUGUUUUGCUGUGUACAUUCUCAACAACAAAAUUUUAAAAAUUUUUUAAAGAGUUGUAACAAAUUUUCUGGCUUUUAUAAUGUAUUGCUGGUUCCUAUUUAUAGCAAAGGGUUAUAGUUUUAUAGCAGCUCACCAACAUUGGGCCUUAUAAUUUUAAGUUUUUUGGUUAAUAGAUAGAUAUAAGAGUGUACCUUUAUUUUUUUACUCCACUUUUUUUUCCUACACAUAAAAAAUGGUGAGUGGUCUAUGGACAUCAGCAAGGAUAUGGAUUUACUAACGUCCAUGUUUUUAAUUCUUGCUGCCUUGUUCAGUGUGGAAAGUUUUUUGCAAUCUGAUCUGAUGCAUCUCUCAUUUAGCCUUAGUUUUUUUUUUUUAAGAAAGGCAGGACUAUUACUUAUAAAAAGUUAACUAUUAGUAAAAUACAGCAUAUGGUUGAUUAACUGCCAAGUGAAUAGCAUACAAUUAUUGUAUGAGUUUGAAAAAGAGGAAGGCCCUCAAUGAGAUGGAUUGACGCAGUGCCUGCAACAAUGGGCUCAAGCAUAACAAUGAUAGUGAGAAUGGCGCAGGAUGGGGCAGUGUUUCGUUUUGUUGUACUUAGGGUCACUAUGAGUCUCAACUGACUCGACGACGCCUAACAACAACAACAUUCUGUGAGUUUGGAGGAGGAAGAUACUGCUGUACCAUUAUAAGUGAUAAUUUUUGCUCUUUUUUGUUAUAGUUUUCACAGUGGUCAAUAGAAGCUGAUAUUGUUUGUUUUAUUUUGGUUUUCUAGUUUUUAUAGACAUGUUCUGUGACCAAAACAUUUGAGAAUUACUGUUUAUGGUGUCUCUGAAAACUGUAGUCAUUUGAGGAAAUUGUAUCGCAUGCUGAUAAUAGAAAUUGUCCAGACUACUGCUUGACGCCAGUGUAACUACAGAAAAGAGCAAAUGAGCCUGCUCUUGGCCAAAAAAGUUAAGGUAUAACUCCUCCAUUUGCCCAACUGUGCUUAAAAUUACGCUCUGGAGAAUUAGUCUGAAGAUUGACGUGUCCAUUAAGCCAAACAUCAAUCAGAGAGGGUGGCCUCCCAAGUGCUUCCCAGAGCUCUACUGCUAUGGACUUGAUCAAGGCAGGCAGCAGAUUCCCUGUAGCAAUGCUAUGGCCACCUCACAAACUACUACAGGUGUAGCCUCUAGUACUAAGUAACCUGGGACCACAAGAGGUUUAGAGUAACAAUAGGGAGGAAGUGGUUCUUAGAAGCUAUUGGUACAGCAAGAGUAUAUUUAAAAGAUCUAUCUUGGGCAGUAGUAAAUUGGGAACACCAUUGAAAAUGAAUGUGUGUUAUGAGGAAAGAUUGUUGUUGUUUGUUAGUUGCCAUUGACUCCAUUCCAACUCAUGGCGACUCCAUGCGUGCAGAGUAAAACUGCUCCGUAGGGUUCUCAAGGCUGUGACCUUUCCGAAGCAGAUCUCCAGGCCUGUCUUCUAAGGCACCUCCGGGUGGGUUUGAAGUGCCAACCCUUCAGCUAAUAGUCGAGAGCUUAACCAUUUUGCAUCACCCAGGGACUCUUGAGAUAAAAUAGAUGUAAUUAUUCUUUUCGGAGUAUACAGCUGCUUGUCAAUUGUCAAUACUAGCUGUGGGUGUGGGGGUGUGUGUGUGUGUUCAUACAUGCUUCCCUAUAUUCUGAAUCCAGGCAUGGUUAGAAUUCCAUAUUACGCUCUUACUUUUACCUUCCCAUAUGAUGGAGCCCUGGUGGUGCAAUGGUUAAGACCUACAGCUGCUAACCAAGGAGCUGUCAGUUCAAAUCCAUGAGCCGCUCCUUGGAAACCCUAUGGGGCAGUUCUACUCUCUCCUGUAGGGUCGCUAUAAGUCAGAAUUGACUCAACGGCAACGGUUUUUUUUUUUUUUUUUUAAUAACCUCUGAUUGAGAUACUGAAACGGGCGAAGAUGUUUUUCUAUGUGUUUUCUGAGAUACCUGGAGAAAACUACAUCUUUAUAUCUGUGUGGACAUCUUUCCUUUCACUGCCUCCUUGUUGAGAUGAUCAUGAAAGGAGACAGUUAAUUUCAUUGGUGAGAGGUAGUGAAAGGUGAUAGCUUGUGAAGACUGGGGUAGGUCAUGGACACGGACAUGCGCAUGGUUCUUUCUGUGAAAUAUGAAAUUCUUCUACAUAAAAUUUACUUCUUCCCUUGAUCUGUUUUAUGCCAUGCCUUCUAGUGAGGGUUUUUUAUUUCUUUUCUUCCAUUCUGCCACCUACUAUUUUUCAAAAAACACAAUUAUGCUCAUGGCAUAUGUCUACUUAAAAACUUUGAGGGCUCUCUGUUGCCCAAAGAAUAAAGGACAAACCCCUAGCAAAGGAAGUCUGAUUGCAGCUUGUUUUCCUAGUCUCAUCCUGUCACUAUUCCUCAGGUAACCUGUACCCAGGCCAUUUCUACCACCUCUCUGAUUCCAAAACUGGGUAAGCUUUAGGCUUCUCUGUCUUAUCACACAGCGCUUUCCCUUGGUAUAGUGACAAAAUCCUUCCCCUCCUUCACAGCUUGACUCAAAGUAUCAUCUCCUUUAUAAAUGCUUGCCAGCCUCCUCUGGCAGUUUUAAUUGUUCCUCUUUUGGUUCCCUGACAUUUGGUAAGUUCCUUCAUUAUGGUAUGUAUCAAAUUCUCCUUAAUUACUUGCCUUAAUUAUCUGCCAUUAGAUUCUGAGUUAUUGACCCUAUCAAGGGCCAAAACCAAACCAAACCCAUUGCCUUCAAGUCAAUUCCAACUCAUAGCAACCCUAUAGGACAGAGUAGAACUGCCCCAUAGGGUUUCCAGGGAGCAGAUGGUGGAUUUGAACUGCUGACCUUUUGGUUAGUAGCCGAGCUCUUAACCACUACACCACCAGGGCUCCUCAUCAAGGACGGAUACCUGUUUUAUUUAUCCUUGAAUUCCCCCUCCCCUAGUGCAUAACACAUUUGCUGUUAGAUAUGCUCUCAUAACUGCUUGCUGAAUGAAUUGACUUAAUAAUGUUUUGUGGCAUUUCAGAAGUAUGUGAAACUAGGUUGAAUUUCUGAAUAGUAUUUGUACUCAUCAUUUUCCUUCCACUCUAUGUUCCUCAUUUGCACUUUAAUCUUAUUAACUAUAACUCAUUGGUCACAGGACUGAGGAAGGCCAUACCAAAUAUGAUGCAAAUGUGGGAAAAGGGAAUUUAGUUGUUAGUUCCUGGGACCUGGCAUACGAGAACUUCUCUUGUGAGAUUCAUGAGGGAGGCCUACCGAGGAAGGGAACCAUAGAGCUAGAUGGCCCAUGCUGGGAAGGAAAAUAGCUUGUCACCUGACCACUCUCAGUGCUUCAACAGGAGACAACUUUAAGUUGAGACACUCAGUCAUAUUCUUCCAAUCCUGCUGUGCACCUGGGUUCAAGUGUCAGGUGGUUUUUUUAUUCCUAUUCCUAAAUGGGGGGCUUUUUUUUUUUUUUCAAUGCAAAUACACCCUUGGUGGUCAUCCAGAAUUUCAUCCUUGUCAUAUUUCUCUGAGACUUUUGUAGCCCACUAACUGAGCUCCAAAAUUAGGCCAGAAUGCCAGUACAAAUUCUACAACCAGUUCAAGAUGUUGAAAGCUUCCUAGGAAUGACUUAAAUAAUCACUGCUGAGGCAGUGAGGCACUUUGAAUGAGAAUGAUUAAUGUGUUGAAAAUGUAACAUAGUCUUAUUCUUCAUGCCAGAAUUGUACUUAUCUUCAUUAUGUAUGAUAAUGAAACACCCUUAGUAUGUUGUAUUCUAUUGUAGCUUAACAUAUCCUAAAACUGAGUUCCUGAUUUUUCCAUAUCUCCCACAAAAACCCGUUUGUUCUCCAGUCCUCAUCUAAAUUAAUGGCAAUUCUGCCCUUUCUUCUAGGAUUGGAAACCUUGGAGUCAUCCUUGACUCAUUUCUUUUUCUCAUAUCCCACAUCCAGUCUGCCAGCAAAUUAUGCUUUCUCUCCUUUCAAAAUAUAUCCAGAACCAACCACUCACAGCUAUCAUUUCUCGUCUCCUAAUCCAAGUAAUCAUUACCUCUCACUCUAUUCUUUGAGGAGCUUUUUAACUAAUCUUCAUAAUUCUGCCUUUAUUUCUAAACCAGCCAUUCUCAGUAUGGCAUCCAAUGAGAACAAAUUAAAACAAAAAUCAAAUUGUGUUACUUGUCUGCCCUAAGCUGCUCAAUGGCUUCCCAUUUCACUCUGAAUAAAAGCUAAAGUUCUUUUUAAAGACCUGGAAGCUCCUGCAGAAUAUGUAUACCCGUGAACCUAUUUGCUAACUCUCUGACCUCAUCUCCUACCAAUUUUCUCCUCAUCCACUCUGUUCUAGCUCUGGUAGCUGGCUUGUUGUUUCUCAGACAUGCCAUGUACAUCUUAGGGACUUUGCACUUGAUAUUGCUUCUUUUAUAAGGCUCUUUCCCAGAUACCUGUACUGCUUGUUUCCUUAUCUUCCUCUGGUUUUUAUUCAGAAGUCACUUAAAGUUCACCUUUUCUUUAAGGACGUCCCUAUUUAAGAUUGCAGCUCCUGCAUCCCCUCCCUCACCUCUGCCACCCCACCACCAAACCAAAACCAAAGCAAAACUGUCAGUCUUCUUUUCUGGUCUGUUUUACUCUGCAGAGGUUUCAUCUUCUAAUAUACUGUUUAUUUUACGUAUCUGGCAUAAUUUGUUUUCCUCCACUAGAAAAUGAUCUCACAAGGGUAAAAAUUCUGCCUGUUUUGUUAACAACUUUACUCUUAGUGCCUAUAGCAAUAGUAGCACAUGGUAGACUUUAAAUGAAUACUGUUUAAGGAAAAAAAGUGUAGCCUCCACAUGUUCGGUUUAGUUUUAAGUACUUAAUGGCUAAUUGCCUUUUAGACACGAAUUGUUCUACAGAGCAGUCUGAUGCACCGUAAAAUAUAAAGAUUUCAGAGUUUUUGGUCAGUGAUUUUAAAAUGUGUUGUACGUACUGAAUAUAAAAUCUGUACCUUUCAAUGAACUUAAGAAAGAGCAUUUCCUAAAAAUAUUCUUGAUUUUAGAUUCCCUCUCUCCACAAUAUAGAUUGAUUUAUACCUGUUAAUAAAAGUCUGUGGUGGUGAUGAUAGUAUUUGGCAUGGAGAGGAAAACAGUGAAUCAGGCAUGAAAGUCUUUGAUCACAAGUUGGCAGAGAGGACUUAAGGAAAUGCAGCUUAUCAAGAAAUGUAGAAGUCACUUGAAAAUGGUCAAAGUAACUUGACAGAAUAUCUUGGGAAGCAGUGUUUUGUUGCCAGUGUCCCUGGAGGGCGUUAGGCACACAGAAACCCAGAGAAUGGUACAUCAUCUGUGGAGGGUCUAUCCUGCUGAAAUCUAGCGCAACUUUUACGGAGAGAAACUGGAAACUGCUUGCUAUUCUCAAGUAGCAGAUUGCCAGGACAGGGAUUAUAGUAUUUAAUUGCUAAAGCUGUGACUGGUUAAUUGCCUAGCUGCAAGGGUUGGGAGGCCCAGGUAAGCCAAAUGACUCCAUGAAAUGUUUUUUUUUUUAAUUUCACAGUCUGGGACAGAAUAAAAUAGCUGUGGUUUUAUGUUAGUUGUGUCCCAUAAUAUGCUGGGAAGCACAGGUUUUAGAAAUUUCUUUAUUUUGGCUCCCACUUUUUAUGAGGUAAUAGAACUAAGAAAGUCUUGGCAAAAAGUCAGAUGUGGUAGAGAUGAAAUCAUUAACCUUUAUUCCUACUUUUUCUUGCCGAUUUUCUUUCCGCAAAAUCCAACAGUAAUUUUAUAUACACGUACACGCAUGCCACUAAAAUCUCUUAUGCAGAGCUGUCAUGUCUUGAGUUGUAUAUGGUUUUAUGGUCUUCUGGGCACACUCGUCCCAAAGAGAGAAUUAUAACUCAUUUCUCUUCAAAAGUCAUGUUCUAUUCCUCCUACAAAGGUGUUUUUUAGAUUCACAGAUAAUGUAACUGAGUUUCCGGUAAGGCUGAGGCCGGAAUUGCUUACAGUGGUGAUGACUGGCAUUGUUUUACACACUUUUUUUGUCCUCCUCAUUGAGACUCCAGAAUAAAAUGAAUGAGAGAUUAGAAUCCACUUAACAGCUAAUAAAGCUACCAGGAGUUCCUGUGUGGUACAAAUGGUUAAGCUCUGGACUUCUAACCGAAAGGUUGGCAGUUCAAACCCACCCAGGGUUGUCUGGAAAGACAGAUGUGGCGAUAUGCUUCCAAAAGGUCACAGCUUGAAAACCCUAUGGAGCAGUUCUACUCUGCACACGUGAGGUCACUGUAAGUCAGAAUUGACUUCACAGUAACUAAUAACAAUGCCAAGAAGUAGAACCAUUCCAAUGGACCACCCCAGGAUGUAGAAAAUUGAAAGGGAAGUCAGGAUAUCUGAACUUAACACAUGAUGUUGCGAGCAACUGUAUUAUCUUGGGAAAGUUCCAUCCUUAUCUUUUAAUAUCACCAAUAUAAAAUGAAAAUAAUUAGUUUAGAUAAUCUUCAUUUUCUCUUUGAUCUCUUAUGUUCUAUGAUCCUGGACCAUCCUUACUAGCUUUAGACUUGUCCUCUUUAAAGAUGGAUUCUCCCUUAACUUCUUUUUAUAUGUACUUGCUAAGGAUUCUUAUAUUUCUAUUUUAGAAGAUCCCAUUUAUUUAGUAGGAAGCUUUUUAGCUUUCCUGUCACUGAUGUCCUCAGCUUUUAACACAAAAUCAAAACCAGUUGCCGUCAAGCCAAUUCUGACUCAUAGCGACCCAGUAGGAUAGAGUAGAACUGCCCCAUAGGAUUUCCAGUGUUGUAAUCUAGGGUCUCUAUGAGUUGGAACUGACUUGACGGCACCUAACAACAACAACAAUCUUAACAGAAGCAGACUGCCACAUCUUUCUCCCAUGCAGCGGGCUGGUGGUUUCAAACCUCCAACCUUUUCAUUUUGCAGCUGAGUGCUUAACCAGUGUGCCACCAGGCCUCUUGCUGUUAACACAAAUCCAUGCAACCCUUUUAAUUAAUGCUUUUCAUUUCCACAUAUAGCUCAUAGAACUUACUUGACUCAUUUCUAAAAAAGCAUUGACACUAGGAGACUGACUGCCUGCUUGGUUUCUCCAUUUUAAAACCUGCAGUAAGGGUCUUGCCUGCCAAUGGAAUCUACCAUGUAGGUGUUGUAAACUUUCCACUACUACCUUACUUUAGGGAGUUCUAGCAGUGAUCUGUUAUUCCAUUGCUUGGAGCAAGAUGUUCCUGGAAACCCAGUCUCUGAAUGUUCAGCCAAUUUCUCAAUUUAUUGGCUGAAUAUUUUGAGAUGCUUCAGGAUAUUAUGUGCAAAAUUGAACCUUGAGUGGUCACUGCCCAAGAAUGAAAACUAUUAAAGAUGACUGGAUCAGGAGGUAAAAGACUGGACAAAGAGCUUUGAGAAAAUUAUUUCCAAGUUAAAAGAGGAAACCAGUAAUUAAUGAACAGGCAAAACCUCACACAGGAAUCUUUGAGAGCAGUGUUCCUUUAGAUCUAGUCUAAGCCUGCUUUUAUGGUUGUUCUUUUUCAGUCCCUCUUUUGGGGCGGGGGAGCUUCUCUUCCUCUGCCCAUUCUUCCUUAAUGUUAUACUUCAGGGUUUUAUCCUCAGACCUCUGUUCUUCUUACCUUCUAUAUUCUACCUGGAUGAAAAAAAAAAUUAUACAUCUAUAUCUCCAUCGCACCCCCUAGGAUGACAAUGCCCUAAUCCCUGUUAUCUUACAUAGCAAAAGGAACUUUGCAGAUGUAAUGUUAAGGGUCUUGAAAUAUGGAGAUUAUCCUGAAUUAUCCAGGUGAACUCAGUAAAAUCGCAUAAGUCCUUAAAAGCAGAAGGAGGAGGCAGAAGAGUAGGUCAGGGAGAUAAGAUUGAAGAAGGAGAAGGACAGAUUUGAAGUGUAAGAGGGACCUGAAGUUUUGCCUGUUCGUUACUUGCUGGUUUUAAAGAUGGAGGAAGUAGCUGUCAGCCAAGGAAUAUGGAUGCCCUCUAGAAACUAGGAACGACUCUCAGCUGACAGCCAGCAAGGAAACAGGGUUCUUGGUCCUACAUCCGCAAAGGAAACGGAUCCUUCCCUAGAACGUCCAGAAAGGAACCCAGCCCUGUCAACACCGUGAUUUUAGCACAGAGAUACUCAUCUUGGACUUCCGAAUUACCAAACCAAAACCAAACCCGUUGCCGUUGACUCGAUUCCAACUCAUAGCAACCCUAUACCUACAGAACUAUAAAAUAAUAAUUUAGUGUUGUUUAAGCUGCUUAAUUUGUGAUAAUCUGUUAUGGAAGCAAUAGAAAACUAAUACAACAUGUGUGCUGGGUUGAAUAGUGUCCCCUCAAAACUCAUGUCCACCCAGAACCUCAGAAUGUGACCUUAUUUGGAAAUAGGGACUUCGCAAAUAUAAUCAAUUUAAAAUGAGGUCAUCCUGGAUUAGUGUGGGCCCCAAUCCAAUGACUGAUGUCCUUAUAAGAAGAGGGAAAUUUGGAUACAGAGACACAGAGAGGAGAAUGUCUUAUGAAGACACAGGCACACCAGAGAGAAGGCUGUGUGAAGAUGGAGACAGAAACUGGAGUAAUGCCUCUGUAAGCCAAGUGUCUUAGUUAUCUAGUGCUUAUAUAAUGGAAAUACCACAAAUGGAUGGCUUUAACAAACAGAAAUUAUUCUCUCACAGUUUAGGAGGCUAGAAGUCCAAAUUCAGGACACCAGCUCCUAGGGAAGGCUUUCUGUCUCUGUCAGUUCUAGGGGAAGGUCCUUCUCAUCAGUCUUCCCCUAGGUCUAGGAGCUUCUCAGCUCAGGAAUCCCAGGUCCAAGGACGAGCUUUGCUCCCAGCUCCUCUUUCUUGGUGGUAGGAGGUCCCUCUCUCUCUGCUUGCAUCUCUCUCCUUUUAUCUCUUGUAAGAUAGAAGGUGGUGAUGCAGGCCACACCCCAGGGAAACUCCCCUUACAUUAGAUCAGGGCUGUGACCUGAAUAGCGGUCACAAAAUGGAGGACAACCACACAAUACUGGGAAUCACGGCCUACAUAAGUUAACAGAUAUUUUGGGGAACACAGUUCAAUCCAUGACACCAAGGAAUGCUAACCUUGGCUGGCAACCACCAAAAACUAGGAAGAGGCAAAGAAGUAUUUUUCCUCAGACAAUUCUAAAGGAUCACGGACCUGCGGACACCUUGAUUUCAGACUUCUAGCCUCCAGAACUGUGAGAGAAUACAUUUCUGUUGUUUUUAAGCCAACCAGUUUGUGGUAAUUUUUUACAGCAGCCCUAGGAAACUAAUACAACAUACAUUCCUACUUUUGUUGUCAAAGUCAAAAACUUUAUGUAUGCUGUCAGUAACAAAAUGCUGAGCAAUAGUUGAGGGAAAAGAGCAUGGGCUCUGGAAUUAGACAAAGCUGGGUUUGAAUCUUGCCUCUAUCACAUCCCAGCUUAAUGACCUGAAAAAAUAACCUUUUUGAGCUGAUUUUUUCCCUAGAAAAUGGUUGUAAUACUAACUAACUCAGAGAGUUUGUGUGUAUAUUAAACAAAACAAUACAUGUAAAAUGCCUGACAUAUGGUAGAAACUCAGUAAAUGGUAGGCAUUAAUAUAACAAAAAGUAGAGCCAAUGUUGAUAUAUUUUAGGUAUCAAAGGAAGCAUCAUAUUCAAAUAUGACACCAGAAGCCAUACCACAAAGAAAUAACUAGAUAAAUUAGACUUCAUUAACAUUUAAAACUUUUGUGCUUCAAAAGACACUAUCAAGAAAUUGAAAAGACAGGCUAUGGAAUGGAAGAUAAUAUUUGCAAAUCUUAUAUCUGAUAGGGGACAGGUGACUAGAAUUUAUAAAAAAAAAAAACUUCUACAACUCAAUAAAAAGAUAUAACCCAGUUUAAAAAUGGACAAAGGAUUUGAAUAGACAUUUUUCCAGAGAAGGUGUACAAAUGUCAAUAAGCACAUGAAAAGAUGCUCAGCAUAAUUAGUCAUUACAAAAAUGCAAAUCAAAACCAUGAGGUACAUUUCACAACCACUAGGAUGGUGUAUUAGUUUCCUUGCGCUGCUAUAGCACAAGCCACUUCUUUGAACUUAAAAAAAAUAUAUAUGUAUAUAUAACUGGUUAUGUUUCGCUAGAGAACCCUGACUAAGACAGAUUACUGUAAUAAAAAGACAAAGCAAGUAUUGGUGAGAAGGUAGAGAAAUUGGAACCUGAUACACUGCUGGUGGGAGUAGAAAAUGAUGCAGCCACUUUGGAAAACAAUUUGGCCAUUCUUCAAAAAGUUAAAUGUGAUGUUACCAUAUAACCCAGCAGUCCUACUUUUAAGAAUAUACAAAGAGACAUAAAAACAUACGUCUACACAAAAACUUGUACAUGAAUGUCCAUAGUAGCAUUAUUUGUAAUAGCAAAAACAUGGAAACAAACUAAAAGCCCAUCAACUGAUGGAUAUAUAAAAUGUAAUUCAAACAGAACAAAGGGAUAUUAUUUAGCCAUAAACAGGAAUGAAAUACUGAUCAUGCUACAUAUGGAUAAACCUUGAAAACGUUGUGCUGGGUGACAGAAGCCAAACAUAAAAGGCCAUGUAUUGUGUGACUCCAUUUAUCUGAAAUACCUAGAAUAGGCAAAUCCUUGGAGACAGAAAGUAGAUUAGUGGGCAUCAGGGCCCAGGGUGAAGAGAGGAAUGGGGAAUGACUGCUUAAUGGGUACAAGGUUUCCUUUUGAAGCAAUGAAAAAUUCUUGAAUUAGAUAAUGUUGAUGGCUGCACAACAUUAUGAAUAUACUAAAAACCACUGAAUUAUAUACUUUUAAGGGGUGAAUUUUGUUAUGUGAAUUAUAUCUCAGUUUUAAAAAUUAAAGAACCCGCAGUGGUCUCUAUUCUUUCAGAAAUCUCUAUCUUUUAAGUCUUAGACUAUCUCUUAUGUAAUACAUAGUUAUGUAACUAUGGGGUGGAGCUAAUAUUUAAGCUUGUUAUUAAAAAAAAACCCAAAGAUGUGCUAACAAGCCAAAUGUGUAACAAAUCAAGAAAUGUUAAGGAGUAGCCAAGCCAAAUCUUUUUUUUUUUUCAUUCUGAAUUAGUAUCAAUGAAUGAAAGAAUUUGGGAAGUCUUAGUAUAGGUGAGGUUACUAAAGAGAUUAGAAUAAAGGUAAAUAAAUAUUUUGUGGGAUGUAGGGAAAUAAUCAGUCAUGGAAUUUAACUUGAAGAGUACUGGAUAGUAUUUGAAGGAUCUGAUUAGGGGGUGAACUAGAAAGGAAAAAAAAAAACAUAAGGAUGCAUGUUCGGCAUAAUUUUCAGUAACUCCGCAUUUUAAUGAGUGGCAUAUAACCAAAAAUUCAUUUGAAGAGAACGUUUCAGAGGAGGUUAGAAGUAUUUGCCAUUAAUUUGGCACCAAAUGGUGGAAGAUAAAUCUCCCAGAGUAGGCAAAUCAUUCUCUCCUCCUUCUAAGUUUCUUUCCCCCACGUAUCUACUUCUUUCCUGUCUCUCUUUCCUCCUAUAAAAAUCAUUAGGUGGCCAUUUAGAGCCAACCAUUGAAAUAGAUAAAGAUAGCAGAAAAACUUCAGGACAGUUUUCUGUAGGUAUAGAACAUUCCAAAGAAAGAUGAUCAAACAGAAUGGAAAAAUUAUUGAAUAAUAUCAUUAAUAUCACAUGCUAGCAAAAUUUUGCUGGAGAUAAUUUUGAAAAGGCUGCAGCCAUACAUCGACAGGGAACUGCCAGAAGUUCAAAAUGGAUUCAGAAGAGGAUGUGGAAUGAGGGAUAUCAUUGCUGAUAUCAAAUGGAUCCUGGCUGAAAGCAGAGAAUACCAGAAAGAUGUUUACCUGUAUUUUAUCAACUACACAAAGAGAUUCGACUGUGUGGAUCAUAAAAAAUUAUGAGAACACUUAAUUGUGUUCAUGUGGAACAUGUGUAUGAAUCAAUAGGUAGUCCUUCAGAUAGAACAGGGGAUACUACAUGGUUUAAAAUUGGAAAGGGUGUGUGGCGGGGUGUAUUCUUUCACCUUACUCAUUCAGUCUAUAUGCUGAACAAAUAAUUUGAGAAGCUGGGCUAUAUGAAGAAGAACGUGGCAUCAGGAUUGGAUAGAAGACUCAUUAACAACCUGAGAUGUGCAGAUGACACAACCUUGCCUGCCAAAAGCAAAGACCACUUGAAGCACUUACUGAUGAUGGUAAAAGACUACUGCCUUCCGUAUGGAUUAUAUCUGAACAAAGAAAAUGAAAAUUCUUACAACUGGAUCAGUAAACAUUAUGAUAAAUGGUGAACAAAUUGAGGUUGUCAAAGAUUUCAUUCCUCUUGGAUCAGUAAUCUGUGUCCAUGGAAGCAGAAGUCAAGACAUCAAAUGAAGUAUUGCAUUGUAUGUAGUAUAUUCAUAUAAUGGAAUAUUAUUCAGCCAUAAAAAGGAAUGAAAUUUUGCAGCUGGAAAAAUCUGCUGCAAAAAACCUCUUUAAAGUGUUAAAAAAAAAAAAAAAACAACUAAGGUGCCUCUGACCCAAACCAUGAUCUUUUCCAUUGCCUCAUAUGCAUUCAAAAGCUACCCCCCCCAAAAAAAACUAGAUAAUAAAAAAUGAGGACCAAAGAAGAAUUGAUGCAUUCAAAUUGUGGUAUUGGCAAAGAAUAUGGAAUAUACCAUGGACUGCGAGAAGGUUCCAUUCUGACUCAUAGCGACCCUAAAGGACAAAGUAGAACUGCCCCGUAGAGUUUCCAAAGAGUGCCUGGUAGAUUCGAACUGCUGACCUUUUGGUUAGCAGCUGUGGCACUAAACCACUACGCCACCAGGGUUUCCAGAUGCCUGAUAGGUAUUUUUUAAAAAAUGAUAGUUGUGCCAGGCACUGUUCUAAGCACUUUCUAUGUAUAAACCCAAUUAACCCUCAAAGCACUUAUGUGAGUAGAUACAGAUGCCCUCUCAAUAGUAGAAGUGAAUCAGCUAGGAAGGUUGUUUUACUUUAGUUUAAUGUGUUCCUUCUUAUCCAUUCCACAGCCAUUCCAUUACUUGUUUAUUCUAUAAUCGUCCCUCUUCUAGCUUUUUCCAGUCUCUUGGUUUAGGCUUUCAAUGUAUCUACAGAGAAUGGGAGUUGAUUUUGAAAGUUAAUAAUGCUAUAAAAUGUGAGAACCUAGGGCUGAGGUAUCUAAAGAGAUGAGCAUGAAGAGGAAGGAGUGUUUGGACUGAUAGUUCUGGUUGGGCAUACAGUCCCUUCAGAGCAGCUUGGACUUCUUCAGUACCAUCGGUUCCUGAUCAUAUGCCACCUCUUGAAAUGGUUGAAUAUCGACUAAUUCUUUUUGGUAUAAUGACUCUGUGUAUUCCUUCCAUCUUCUUUUGAUGCUUCCUCUAUCGUUUAAUAUUUUCCCCUUAGAGUCCAUCACUAUUGCAACUCCAGGUUUGAAUUUUUUCUUCAGUUCUUUCAGCUUGAGAAAUGCCAAGCAUGUUCUUCCCUUUUGGUUUUCCAUCUCCAGCUCUUUGUACAUGUCAUAAUACUUUACUUUGUCUUCUCAAGCCACCCUUUGAAAUCUUCUUUUCAGUUAUUUUACUUCAUCAAUUUUUCCUUUUGCUUUAGCUGCUCAGCAUUCAAGAGCAAGUUUCAGAGUCUUCUCUGACAUCCACCUUGGUCUUUUCUUUCUUUCCUGUCUUUUCAGUGACCUCUUGCUUUCUUCAUGGAUGACGUCCUUGAUGUCAUUCCACAACUCUUCUGGUCUUCGGUCACUAGCGUUCAAUGUGUCAAAUCUAUUCUUGAGAUGGUCUCUAAAUUCAGGUGGGAUAUACUCAAGGUCAUAUUUUGGCUCUCGUGGACUUGCUCUGAUUUUCUUCAGUUUCAGCUUGAACUUGCAUUUGAGCAAUUGAUGGUCUGUUCCACAGUCAGCCCCUGGCCAUCUCCUGACUGAUGAUAUUGAGCUUUUCCAUCAUCUCUUUCCACAGAUGUAGUCAAUUUGAUUUCUGUGUGUUCCGUCUGGCAAGGUCCAUGUGUAUCAUUGCCGUUUAUGUUGGUGAAAGAAGGUUUUUGCAAUGAAGAAGUUGUUGGUCUUGCAAAAUUCUGUCAUUCCAUCUCCAGCAUUGUUUCUAUCACCAACGCCAUAUUUUCCAACUACCGAUCCUUCUUUUUUGUUUCCAACUUUCGCAUUCCAAUCACCAGUAAUUAUCAAUGCAUCUUGAUUGCAUGUUCGAUCAAUUUCAGACUGCAGCAGCUGAUAAAAAUCUUCUAUUUCUUCAUCUUUGGCCCUAGUGGUUGGUGCAUAAAUUUGAGUAAUAGUCGUAUUAACUGGUCUUCCUUGUAGGCGUAUGGAUAUUGUCCUAUCACGGACUGCGUUGUACUUCAGGAUAGAUCUUGAAACGUUCUUUUUGACGAUGAAUGCAACACCAUUCCUCUUCAAGUUGUCAUUCCCAGCAUAGUGGACUAUAUGAUUGUCCAAUUCAAAAUGACCAAUACCAGUCCAUUUCAGCUCACUAAUGCCUAGGAUAUCAAUGUUUAUGCGUUCCAUUUCGUAUUUGAUGAUUUCCAAUUUUCCUAGACUCAUACUUUGUACAUUCCAGGUUCAGAUUAUUAAUGGAUGUUUGCAGCAGUUUCUUCUCAUUUUGAGUCAUGCCACAUCACCAAAUGAAGGUCUCGAAAGCUUUACUCCAUCCAUGUCAUUAAGGUCAACUCUACUUUGAGGAGGCAGCUCUUCCCCAGUCAUCUUUUGAGUGCCUUCCAACCUGCGGAGCUUAUCGUCCAACACUAUAUCAGACAAUAUUACGCUGCUAUUCAUAAGGUUUUCACCAGCUAAUGCUUUUCAGUAGUAGACUGCUGGGUCCUUCUUCCUAGUCUGUCUUAGUCUGGAAGCUCAGCUAAAACCUGUCCUCCAUGGGUGACCCUGCUGGUAUCUGAAUACCGGUGUCAUAGCUUCCAGCAUCACAGCAACAUGCAGGCCCCCAAAGUACAACAAACUGGCAGACACGUGGGGCACUUUUUAUAUUAUUACUUAUUAAUAUUAUUAAUAGUUUUGUAUUUAUUACUUUUUGUAUUAUUCCUCUAGAGUAAAUGGUAAUAUAAAUCCACUGAGCUUUUAUUGACAAGGCACUGUGCUAAACAUUGGGUAGAAGAGGUGUAUAAGAACUGGUCCUUGUCCUUGGUUUAUAGACUAGUAGGUACAGAGUAUACAGUGUCAAGUUCAUAAAUUGCUGAGGCAAAGAAUGCCUACUUAAUGAUGGCCUGAAAGAAAGUCUUUGCUUUUAUGGAGCUUUCUACAGUCUAGCAGCAAAGGCAGAUAUUGAAUAAGAAUUUUGAGUAAGGUGAGUUGGAUAGUGAGGGAUUGAACCUACUGACAGAUAUUAGUGACAUUUAUGAAUCCCAGUUAGCUGGGAGGGAUGUUCCCAUGAUAGAACAUGGGAAGCCCCAUGAUAAGUGCCUUCGAAGGACCCCAUAGCAGGAGAGUAUGUGAGGCAUGAGUGGCCAGAUGACAGAGGACCAUAUAGACCAAGUUAGGAUUUGGAUUAUAUCAAAAAUAAUGGGAAGCCAUUGCACCUUUUAGGAAAGGGAUGUGAUGAAACUUGAGUUUUUAAAUGGCUUUUCUGACUGUAGUGUGGAGGAGGAGUUGGAGAAGAGCUAUCACAGACUUAGGAAAAUUCCUUAGUCUAUUAUAUGAGGUAAAUUAAAUAUGAUUUCGUGUAUUAUUAUGCUCCGAAAUUUUAGGAAACUAAUCCCUACUUGAAUCAGCUCUUCAGAUUAAGUCAUGCCUGUUAGAACAAUGAACACUAGAUGAUUAGAUUCAAGUUAUACCAAGAAAAAGCCAGUGAAAUAAAACGGAUAUAAUUCUAGGGCUCGCAAGUUCUGUUUGUACUUAUAUAGUACAUGGUUGGGGACUCCUGGCUUGUUCUCCUGUUCCGGCCAAAGCACUUCAAGUGCAACAACCAUCCAUCUGUCAGUGUAGGCUUGCAUGUUGCUGUGAUGCUUUACAGACUUCAGCAGAACUUCUAGACUAAAACAUACUAGGAAGAAAGGCCUGGUGAUCUACUUCCGAAAAAUCAGCCAGUGAGAACCCUGUGGAUCACAGCAGUCCGAUCCCAUUGUCCUGGGGCUGCCAUGAGCAGGGGCAGCUAACAGCAGCUUACUGACAAGUCAGAGGUAGGUAGAAGGGACAGGCAGACAUCAGCUAAUGCCAAAAUCUGGGGUUUUGUUUCUAAUUGUACUACUUGAAAAAAUAGGAAGUCUGACAAGUAAGAUUCUUAGGUUCCAGUGAGGUUGAAACUUGUUAUCACGUACUGUAUUUUCAUGAGAAAUUUAUUGGGAGGGCUGUUUUAGCUGCUGUUGAGUCAGCCCUGACUUAUGGUGCCCCAUGCACAAUGGGAUUGGACUGUUGUGAUCCAUGGGGUUUUCGUUGGAUGAUUUUUCUAAAGUAGAUCACCAGGCCUUUCUUCCUAGUAUGUCUUAGUCUGGAAACUCCUCUAAAGCCAGCAAUAUGCGAGCCUCCACUGACAGAUGAGCGGUGGCUAUGCUUGAGGUGCAUUGGCUGGAAUUAAACCUGGAUCUCCUGCGUGGAAGUCAAGAAUUCUACUACUGAAUCACCACUGCCUUCAGUGGGAGGGUAAAGACAAACCUGGCAUUGUUGAUGUUCCUCAUCAUUACCUGAGAAGUCCUCACUAUAAAAAUACAGGAGCCAGAUGGCCAUAUUUUAGAAUGCUAUAUGAAGAAUUCCUCACUGGAAGUGGAAGAAUUGCUUGGAUGACUUUGAGGAAUCUCCCACUCACGCACAUUCAGUGGUCGUUUUGUUGCUUGUACUGCAGAUUAUAUAUUUCUCCCUAAAAUGGAAUCAUAUGAACAUUUAUAAAGACAUAGGUCUUGCAGAGUGUUUAGCUGUUUUAAUCUGAGAUUGUGAUUUUCUUAGAAAGAUUGGCCUCAGUCCUUUUUGAAAUCGUUUACUUACAAUAUUAAAUUAUUUCUGGUAUUUAGUUUAUAAUUUACAUGGAUUACUUAAAUUUACAUCUUUGUGAAGUUAAAUCUUUUGAUUCCCAUUUUACAGUCAAACUAAAAGAAAACCAAAGAGAAUAAGCAACUUGUUUAACAUAAUUUAGCUGAUAAUUGAAGAGCCUCAAUUACAUACUGGCUGCUUGAACUUCUCAAGUGACUAACCUCUUAUGUUUCAGUUUCCUCUUCUGACAAAAGUGUGUUAUUAUACUUUACCUCAAAUAGUUCUUGUGAGGAUUGAAUGUAUCAGUGUAUGUCAAAGCCUCUAGUGCAGUGUCUGGUAAAUAGCAAACACACAUUAACUGUAUAUUCUCUCCCUCUUCCCCAGGUACAUCUUGUGCCUUUCUGACUUCAUGUCUCUGCUGCUUCUGCUCCCUUUGCCACUACUUUCAAUCUGUUGAAAAGGCACCUGUUCAGUUUAGACUAAGGAAAUAAUCACAUAGCUGCACAAAAGGGUAUAUACAAAGACAUUUGUCACAGUAUUGUUUAUAAUGACAAAAUAUUGGAACAAUCUAAAUAUCUAAAAUAGGGCACUGAUUAGAUAAAUUAUGGUUCAUAUGUCAUAGAAUUGUAACGAGGAUCAAGUGAGGUAACAGUUAUAAAUAUUUAUAAAGUGAGUUAAUAGUUAUAUUUAUAAAGUGCAUAGUAAGCAUUAUGUACUUUUUAAAAAUGGUAUAUUCAUACUAUACCUGUUAAAGUGAUAAUAUAAAUCUACAUUUAUUUACAAUAUAUUGUUAAGACAGAAAAUAGGUCAUAAUACAUUAUUUUUAAGAUAUCAAUAAAUAAAGAUCAGGAAUGAUAUAUAUUAAAAUUUAUUUAAUUUUUUUAAAAGUAUACAGCAAGAAAUACAGAAUGAUUUUUCAAACACCUUACUUCCCUGACACUAACUCAGAAUUUGGUUAUGCAUGACCUUAAGAGAUUUAUUGAACGCUGAGCAUUUUCAAGGAUCUACUCUUUGCCCUCAGAUUGUCGUGAUCCAUGUGGGCUAGGCUAUCAAAGUAGAUUCUUAUGGACAUCAUUUUUAUUCUAAGAGUGAGAUUCUAGAGCUCAGAAUUCUUUCUUAGAAAUUAAGAAGCUUUUGGGGGCUAAGGGACAAGUGGCAACUUGCUUAACUUACCUGCUAUUUUCAUCAUUACUAGCAAAAACGUUUUUGACUCUGAGCAUGCAGAUAUUUGUAGCAACCCUUUUAAAAUGCUGCUGGAUUCAAUUUAUUAUUACUUUUUUAAGGAAUGAAUGUAGACUCUCUUUUUGUUGGCAUUUCAAAUAGAUCAAACACUCUAAGAAGAUUUUAUGUUCCACUAAGAUCUCUCAUCCAAAAGAUACAGAUUUGAACUAUAAAACUGGUUCUAAGAGUCCAAAAGCCCAAACCCGAACCCAUUUCCAUCAAGUCAAUUCUUACUCACAGUGACCCUACAGGACAGAGUAGAAUGGCCUUAGAGGUUUCCCAAGACUGUAAGUCUUUAUGGAAGCAGAUUUCACCACAUCUUUCUCCCAUGGAGUGGCUGGUGGGUUUGAACCACAGAUUACAAAGUUCAUUAAAGGGAAAGCUGUCAGAUACCUCUUUUUUAUGAAAAUGCUAUUUGAGAAAAUAUUUCCAGUUAUAUCUCGUAGAGCUGUUAUGAGGAUUAAAUGAGUUACUACAUGUAAAGCACUAACAUGUACUAAAAAACAUGUACUAGCAUAUAAUAAGUACUACGUUUCUUAUUGUCAUUUUUAUGUUUUUUUUUUUAGCCAUGCAAUACUUAAGUGGAGCAGAAGUUAUAGUAAAAUAGUUAUCACCCUAUAACUACUGGGAGAAAUGACAUUUUCCCCCAAUGAUUUUGACAUAAUAUCAAUAAGAAGUUUGAUGGUUAAAAAAAAAAUUGGGAUAAAACUAAUCUCCUCGCUGUAGUUCUACACUUCCCACAGUUGUCUUGUAUGAAUAUUUAUUCACUACAUGGACAAAUGGAUGAGGAUAUCCUUAAACAUAGAGAGAGGUUUCUAUUCUAUAUAUCUCUUACCUCACUCUCUGUCUAUAUCUGUUGGUUGUUGUCAUUGUUGUUAGGUGUCGUCGAGUCAGUUCCAACUCAUAGUGACCCUAUGCACAACAAAACAAAACACGGCCCAGUCCUGUGCCAUCUUCACAGUUGUUGCUAUGCUUGAGCCCAUUGUUGUAAUCCGUCUCAUUGCGGGUCUCUCUCUUUUUCACUGACCCUCUACUUUACCAAGCAUGAUGUCCUUCUCCAGGGACUGAUCCCUCCUGAUAACAUUUCCAAAGUAUGUGAGACAUAGUCUCGCCAUUCUUGCUUCCAAGGAGAAUUCUGGUUGUACUUCUUCUAAGACAGAUUUGUUGCUUCUUUUGGCAGUCCAUAGUAUAUUCAUAGUAUAUUCACCAACACCAUAAUUCAGAGGCUUCCGUUCUUCUUCUGUCUUCCGUAUUCGUUGUCCAGCUUUCGCAUGCAUAUGAGGCAAUUGAAAACACCAUGGCUUGAAUCAGGCACACCUUAGUCCUUAAGGUGACGUCUUUGCUCUUCAACACUUCAAAGAGGUCUUUUGCAGCAGGUUUGCCCAGUGCAUUGCAUCUUUUGAUUUCAUGACCAUUGCUUCCAUGGGUAUUGAUCGUGGAUCCAAGUAAAAUAAAAUCCUUGACAACCUCAGUCUUUUCUCCAUUCAUCAUGAUGUUACUUAUUGGUCCAGUUGUGAGGAUUUUGGUUUUCUUUAUGUUGAGGUGUAAUCCAUACUGAAGGCUGUGGUUCUUGAUCUUCAUCCGUAAGUGCUUCAAGUCCUCUUCACUUUCAGCAAGCAAGGUUUUGUCAUCUGCAUAAUGCAGGUUGUUAAUGAGCCUUCCUCUGAUCCUGAUGCCCCGUUCUUCUUCAUAUAGUCCAGCUUCUCGGAUUAUUUGUUCAGCAUACAGAUUGAAUAGGUAUGGUGAAAGGAUACAACCCUGAUGCACAGCUUUCCCAACUUUAAACCGUGCAGUAUCCCCUUGUUCUGUCCGAACAACUGCCUCUUGAUCCAUGUCCAGAUUCCUCAUGAGCACAAUUAAGUGUUCCGGAAUUCCCAUUCUCCGCAAUGUUAUCCAUAAUUUUUUAUGAUCCACAUAGUCAAAUUCCUUAGCACAGGUAAAAAUUUUUCUGGUAUUCUCUCCUUUCAGCCAGGAUCCAUCUGACAUCAGCAGUGAUAUCCCUGGUUCCAUGUCCUCUUCUAAAUCUGGCUGGAAUUUCUGGCAGUUCCCUGUCGAUGUAUUAUUGCAGCCAUUUUUGAAUGCUCUUCAGCAAAAUUUUGCUCACAUAUGAUAUUAAUGAUACUGUUUGAUAAUUUCCUUAUUUAUACUUAUUUGUAUUUGUUGGAAGAGAAUACUCCAAACCUUGUAAUUAGCUGUUCUGUAUUUUUCAAGGCCAGUGGCUGAUUUUCUGAAGAUGUGGCUCCUUUCCUUUAAGUUCUCUUAAAUAGUUAUGUGUUGGUUUGUUCAACUUCAUGGAAGUAGGUAAGAAAAAUAAAAAAAGGUCUGGGUAGGAUUGGUGAGUUGAGACAAGGGGCUGGUAUUUCACAAGCCAUCUUUACCUAAUUUUUACUGAUUUCUAAAGAGCAGAGAAGGCUUUUAUCCUGUUUUGAAAACAAUGAAAUAUGAACUGGAAUUAAAUGAGAGGAUAGGAUAAAGACAACCCUCUGUAAUUGUAGUAAAAAGUAGUUACAUGAAGAUCAUAUGACAGCAUAACCAAUUUUCCCGUUUCAAAGGAAGACAAGUAUUUUGUCCCCAGUAUUACAGGGCUCUGAAGAUUGGCAGUUUGAUAACACCUAAAGAAGAAUCCCAGAAUUAUUCUUACCUACUCUCACAAGCCUUUUCACACAAUACAUUUCUACAUUUUUCAUCUUCACCUGGCUAGAGAAACAAUCUUGGAACCCCAAUUUGGGAGUUUGACCAGAAUUCUCACCCCUGAUUUAGUAUGGCUACUCUUAGAACAAGGAGCCCUGGCAGUGCAGUGGCUAAGUGCUUAGCUACUAACUGAAAGGCCAGUGGUUCAAACCCAGCAGCCACUCCAUGGGAGAAAGAUGUGGUGUAGUCUGCUUCUGUAAAGGUUUACAGCCUUGGAAACCCUAUAAGGCUGCUCUACUCUGUUGUAUAGGGUCACUCACAGUUACUUGAUGGCAGUGAGUUUGGGUUUGGGUUUCUGGACUCUUAGAACCAGUUUUAUAGUUCAAAUCCAUAUCUUUUGGAUGAGAGAUCUUAGUGGAAUGUAAAAUCUUCUUAGAGUGUUUGACCUAUUUGAAAUGCCAACAAAAAGAGUCUAAAUUCAUUCCUUAAGAAAGUAAUAAUAAAUUGAAUCCAGCAGCAUUUUAAAAAGGUUCAAAAAUGUUUUCACUAGUGAUGUCAAUGAAAAUGGCAGAGUACAUAGCUCCAAGGGCCUGUCUUUUUGCAGAAACACACGCACAUACACAAAAGCAAAAACAGUCAGAAUCAACUUUGUCAGAACUCUGGAAAAUAGUCAAAAGUUUACAGUAACCAAGCAAAUGCUGAAUCAAGAAAAAAGCAAUUUCAAAAUGGUGGGAAAGCUUUGCAGUGUUCUCACUUGCUUUUCCCCCACUCUGGUCCCCAUCUUGGUGGUUGUCUUGAAGAUAGUAGCCUUUGUUCCCAGUAUGGGACCCUGGUCCAUAGUUCUAGAGGGGGAGUACAGCAUACCUUAUUCUCAACAAAUUGUCUUUGUCUAUUCUAACAUACCUGGGGGUUACCCAAAAGACUGAUGCAAGGCACUUGCCUUUAUUUCACCUAAAUGGAAACAUAGGGCAGAAAAACAGUGGGCACUCCUCAAAAACAAUGUAAGGUAAAUGAACAACCUGCUGCCGCCAGGUGCAAAAGGAUUGUGACAAACAAUAGGCACACCAGAAGCCUGAGAGGAAAAGCUGGGAGAGAGUUCCUUUGGGAAAUUAGGACAUUCAAAAGUGCCUGUGUAUACUGGGAGAUUUAGAAAGCCAUGUUAAUGCCCAGAGAAAGAUGUGUGCUCAAAAAACAGAAGAUCCUAAACUUUUAGCUCGGACAGAUCUUUAUGCUCAGCACAGGGAGGAAAUGAAGGCUAAGGGAGAGGUGUAAAGACUAGGAGAGUUUUUUUUUUUUUUCCUUUUUCUUUUUCCUCCCUCCUUUCCUUUUUCCCUCUCUCCUUCCCUUUUCUUUCCCUUCUUUCCUUGUCUCUUUCUUUCUUACCUUCUUUCUUUUACCUCCUGAUGUUCAAGAAAAUUCUUGUCAAAACACUAGCUCAGCACAAGCUAAAGGAAUAGGAAAUCCCUAUACAAAUGACAAAGAAUACAUACUUUUCAGAAAUAGUUUAGAUAUAGAAUAGCUAAAACACACAGCCAACAACAAAAACAAACUCCGAGGAAGAGGAUAAAUCUGAUUCCCAGAGGUACUACAUUAUAAUAUUUAAAUAUCCAGUUUUUAAUAUAUAUAUAUAUAUAUAAUUCCACGAAACAAGAAAGUAUGGCCCGUUCUCAAAAGAAAUUAACAAAAACUGUCCCAGAGGAAACACAGAUAAGUGACUUACUAGAUAAAUACUUUAAAUCAACUGUCUUAAAUACCUUCAGAGAGCUAAAGGAAACCAUGGACCAAUAGCUAAAGGAAAUCAGGAGAAUGAUGUAUGAAAAAAUUAAGAAUCUCAAUAAAGAGAUAAAAAUUUAGAAAAGUAACCAAAGUCUGGAGCUGAAAAGUACAAUAACCAAAAGGAAAAAUUCACUAGAGGGGUUCAACAGCAGAUUUGAGCAGGCAGAAGAAAGGAUCAGUGAACUUGAAGAUUGGUCAAUUGAAAUUAUCCAGUCAGAGGAGCAGAAAGAAAAAAGAAUGAAAAAAAAAAAAAAAAGAGCAGAGCCUUAGAGACCUGUGAGACGGAAGUAUAACACCAUAUGUAUAAUGGGAGUGACAAAAGGAGAGGAACUAGAGAAAGGGACAGAAAGAAUAUCUGGACAUAUAAUGGCCAUAAACUUGCUGAAUUUUAUGAAAUACAUGAAUCUGCACGUUUAAAAAACUCAACAAACUUCAAUUAGAAUACAUUUAAAAAGAUCCACACUGAGACACGUUAUACUCAAAUUGUCAAAAGACAAAGAAAAAAAAAUCUUUUAAUCAAGAGAGAAGUAACUUAUCACAUACAAAGGAUCCUCAAUAAGAUUAACAGCUGAUUUCUCAUCAGAAACCAUGGAGACCAGAAGGCAAUGAAAUGACAUAUUUAAAUAGCUGAAAGAAAAAUACUGUCAACCGAGAAUUAUCUAUGCAGCAAAAUUAUUCUUCAGAAUCAAGGAGAAAUUUAGAUAUUCUCAGAUUAGUAAAAGCUGAGGAAGUUUGUCACUAGUAGUCUUGCCCUUUAAGAAAUACAAAGGGAAUCCUUUGGGCCAAAAUAAAAGGACACUAGGCAGUACCUUGAAGCCAUGUGAAGAAAAAAGGAACAGUGAUAAAGGUAAUCACAUAGUAAAUAUAAAAACCAGUAUUGUAUUUUUUUUUUGUUUGUAGCUCCUCUUUUUGUUUUCUAUAUGACUUAAAAGACAGAUAUAUAAAACAAUCAUUGUAAACCAUGUUAAUGGUUGCCCAGUGAAUAAAGAUGUAAUUUUGACAAAAACAUUAAAAAGGGAGAAGACAGAGCUGUACAGGAGCAGAAUUUCUUUUGUUUUUUUUGAGAUUUGUCUAUGCUUUCUUUGUAGUUUUGGUUAUUCAUUUUCAUUGCCGUUUGGUAUCUCAUUAUAAAAAUGUAUCGCAAUUUGUCUGUUCUACCAUUGAUGGACAUUUGGCUGUUUUUAAUAAAGCUGCUAUAUAUUCAUUCUUGUGCACUCUUGACACAUAUGUGCACACAUUUCUGGUACACACACAGAAAAAUACACACACACCAGUAAACCAGUUGCCAUUGUGUCGAUUCUGACUCAUGGAGACCCUGUGGGUGCCAGAGUAGAACUGUGAGAAGCAGAGUUUUUGCAUGCUAUUGAAGUUGACGUCAAUUCAGACUAGAUAGUUAUAAAUUUAGGAUGCUAAUGGUAAACCUGUAGUAACAACAGUAUCUAAAAAUUAUAUAGAUAAUGAUAUGAGAAGACAAUCAAAACAGCAUACUACAAAGAAGUCAACUAAACAUAAAAGAAGACAGUAAUGGAGAAAUGAGGAACAAAAAGCGUAAAGACGUACAGAAAACAAAUAGUUAAAUGAAAGAAGUAAAUCCUUAUCAGUACUUACUUUAAAUGUAAAUGAAUUAAACUCUUCAAUCAAAAAGUAAAGUUUGGCAGAAUGAAUAAAAAAGCCUAAUAUACUGUCUACAAGAGACUCACCUUAGAUCCAAAGACACAAAAGGGUUGGAAAGAAAAAAAAAAACAUUCCAUGCAAAUAGUAACCUAAAGUGAGCUAGAGUGGCUGUACUAAUAGACAAAAUAGG
Loxodonta africana (African savanna elephant) is the source of this 35250-nucleotide long non-coding RNA. RefSeq lists it as uncharacterized. NCBI's taxonomy places the organism in Eukaryota, Metazoa, Chordata, Mammalia, Proboscidea, Elephantidae. The record is from RefSeq and is a predicted model, not a curated record. The transcript has 2 exons.